Long non-coding RNA from Dermochelys coriacea (leatherback sea turtle), 449 nucleotides. RefSeq lists it as uncharacterized. Lineage: Eukaryota; Metazoa; Chordata; Testudines; Dermochelyidae. The record is from RefSeq and is a predicted model, not a curated record. The transcript has 2 exons.
CAACAGCGGGGUCCGUUGCCAGGUGUGCGUCGCGUCAAUUACCACAACAGGGUAGAGAAGAAAAAAAAAAAGGAAUAAAUGCUUGCCUUGGGCACUCUGUACCGGCAACAGUUUUUGGCGCCCAAAGUGGGCUCAAGGUUGCUAUUUAGCCUUGCCCGGACCCCUCCCGGCAGUCGAUGGAUUGCAGCGACAACCGAUGCCCAGCGUGCACUGGUGAAUUCAUCGGGAGGCCUCGGAGGAGACGCGAUUUGAUCGACCCCAGAGGGCACAACGGUGCAACGUGCUCAAUAGUGGAGAAGCGACUGCAGUCGACAGUGUGGAACCGGUCCCUUGGAUAAGGUAUACCAAAGACUCACCGCCUCUUCCGUUGAAUGCUCCUGUCCACUCCUUGCAGCCAGGCAACUCCGUGCUUGUUCGUUCCUGGAAAGACGAGCCUCUCCAAGAAAAGU